Molecule: long non-coding RNA, 2484 nt
Organism: Chiroxiphia lanceolata (lance-tailed manakin)
Lineage: Eukaryota; Metazoa; Chordata; Aves; Passeriformes; Pipridae
Exons: 3
Source: RefSeq, a predicted model, not a curated record
CUUCGAAGAAACAAGCCUUGUGUUGUUCCCAAGGAGGAUUAGCGGUUCCUGAGUCAUUUCUUAAGCACGGUCCGUGUAGCUGCGACAAAGGACGCUCCAGAACUCCUGACACUCAUCUCUCAGUGCAGGCAAAGGCCUAUCAACACAGCAGGAAGCAAAACCACCAGCAGCAGCAGCGUCACCCCCUUUCUUGGGAGGAGAGGAAGAGAAAACCACUGUGUCUUGCAGCAGCUAAGAAGGGCAGGGUGCUGGUAAUUUAUUCCCCAAAAAACAGUCCCUGGCUCACUGAGGGCAGGGCCGCCCAGAAAUCUUUUGACCAACUCAGCCAAGGCACAGGAAGUGAUGCCAGGAGCAAAACGAGUUCCCUGAGAAGAUGAAGUAACCCUGUGAUUUGCAGAUCUGGGAUGUGGGCACAGAUCACUGAACAUUUCCACGUCUUCUGUGUAGAGUCUUCGUGGAACCAAAGGAGGUGCAAGAGAAAGGAGCUGGGGAUGCUUCACCUGUACAAGAACAAACACUGCUCUUCAAACAACAAGGGUAAUCUCUAAAUCCCUCUCCUCAGAAGGAGUAGGCUACACACUGUAUUAAACACUGACAGUGCUGUUCUAGAGAAUGAGAUGGGAAAGAGAAGUCCUGUUCUCUGUACAUUUUUUCAAAUUAUAAAAAGGGUAAUUUUUUUAGUUCCAAAAUAUUCCCGAAUAUGCAUUCUUAGAAUAGUUAAACCCAUUAAAAUUUAAUUUAAUAAUAAUGUUUCUUCUCUGUUUCUGGGUCAGUUCUCAACUUCCUCAGCUGGUGCUGAAUUGGAGUAACAAAGUUCUGGGAUUAACCACUGUAAAUGUAGUCAUCAAACUUUCUUUUAGGUGCCUUCCCAGGUAGAAACUGCUAAACCAAUGCAGCCAAAUAUAUCACAAACUACAGGUUAUAGUGGUGUUGCCCCACCACCUGAAUUAGAGCUGUGACCUCUUAAGUAUUUCCUAGAUCAGUGCUCCUGAGGACUCCCGACAGCCAUGCCAAAAAUGGAAACCUUCCCUAUUCAGCUUGGGAUCAGAGGAACAACUCAAAAGACAAACAUUUCAAUGCAUUCCAAGGGUUGUCUGUCAAAGAAGGAUUCAGCCAACAAAGGCUGACACCUUCCUGUCCAGGGGUGAGCUGUCUCACCUCUCUGAGGUGGCUGCAGUCCAGUUCCUUCUGGCUCUGAUGCCUCUGCAAACGUCGGCCCUGGCAGCGACUCGGCCUGGUCCAAGUCCGUGUGUCCCUGAAAAUGAGGUGAAUGCUCUUACACUUGGUGGGACAGAGUGGAAAUCACAGAAACUUUGGGGCUUCUUCACAGGUUUUCAGGCCUCUUAGUCCUGAAAAAAAAAAAAACCAAACAAACCAAAACCGAAAAUAAAACUCCCCAGACUGUUUCUGGAGAGCUUUUUCUGAAAUUUUACCUUGUACUGAUAUUUCCGGUUCAAAUAAGGAACCGUAAAUCAUCUGAGACCAAACAGAUGACGAGGCAUUUCAUAAAGACAUUAUGCAGCAUUUAUCCCAAAUAGCUUCUGCAGGAACGGUGCUCGACAGCCGUGCAGGCCAACUGGAGGAUGAGGAUGGGAGUGCAAAACCACCUGAAACUCUUUAAUCCCAUUUUUAACGUUAUGGAAUCUCAGUAUAAAAAGUUUUUUUCCGUGAGCCAGCUGGUGUUAGGAACACGUGACUACUACGUGGGCUAUCAACCUCUUCCAGCCAGUCUCCAAUUCCUAGAAAUUGCUUUAUGCCCAAGUCAUUACUGCCUAAUUAGAGCCCACAAGGGAAGUUCCAUGGCACUGUGGGCACAAUUGCAUGUUUGGAGACUCCUGCCAGGCACAGGGACUGUAAGUGCUUGCUUGGUCAGGCUCGUACAAAAAUGCUUUUGUAGCUGCCUUCAAGGGCUGGGAGUUUAUUGGCAGUUAUUUCACCCAUGGAUCACCAGGUUCUUAUUCAGAACCAAGACUGCAGAGUUUUCCUUUGCCCUUCCUUAUUUCUUUUGUUUUGAGUUCACACAAAAGGUCUGGUUUCGGGAGGGGGGGGUAAAGACCUGGUUUGGGCUGAAAAAGUCUUAAUUGCGAGAAUCAAAACAGUCAUGUAACUAUGACACAUUGUUUUAAAAAAAAUCCUUGGAAUAAUACAAAUGACAUCCUAAUAUUUCAAGGUCCGUACUUUAUUUUUCUAAUCUAAUUUUAGACCUUCUUCAUGGGGAAAAAAGGUCACGAUUGGAACUUUUUGUCCCCAGUCCUGGACCAUUAGGACAAAUAUUAUAUCCAGUAUUUGGGUUAAGAAAAAACUAAUCUGUUUAGGUGUUGCUUGAUGUUUUUCAAAAGGACUUAAUUUCAGUCAUUUUUAUUGCAAUGUUUUGUGGGUUUGGUUUUUUUUUUCUUUUUUGGAGGGUUUUUUUUCUUAUUGCAUGUGCAAAACUAAAGGUAUUGGGAAAAAAUGCUGCUGCAGUUUAAUUUAUGCUACACAGAA